This 215-nucleotide ribosomal RNA is filed under the name uncultured fungus. RNAcentral's name for it is "partial small subunit ribosomal RNA". The stretch from base 91 to 215 matches the Rfam family "Eukaryotic small subunit ribosomal RNA", at positions 738 to 864 of the family's 1831-position model. The record is from RNAcentral. Lineage: Eukaryota; Fungi.
GACCUGGCCGGGCGGUCCGCCUCACGGCGUGUACUGUCUGGCCGGGUCUUACCUCUUGGUGAGCCGGCAUGCCCUUCACUGGGUGUGUCGAGGAACCAGGACUGUUACCUUGAGAAAAUUAGAGUGUUCAAAGCAGGCCUACGCCUGAAUACGUUAGCAUGGAAUAAUAGAAUAGGACGUUCGAUCCUAUUUUGUUGGUUUCUAGGAUUGACGUA